AAAAACUGACCAAAAUAAAAUGGAGGCAUUACCAGCGAAACAAAAAAGCCGGGAAGGAUGCUUCGACUUCGCAGUUGAAGCCUGUCGAAACCUCUGGAUAGAAGAGGAAAUUCCCAAAAGGAGUGGGGACAAAAAAAGGAAAGAUCGUGACUAUAGCGGUAAAUUCAUGACCAUCAAGCUAUGGAUAAGCUUAACAUCAAUAAAACCAGAGUCGCCAC
RNAcentral lists this long non-coding RNA (218 nucleotides) under Lathyrus oleraceus (garden pea). RNAcentral's name for it is "Pisum sativum (pea) long non-coding RNA (PSAT_LNC030210)". The record is from RNAcentral. Lineage: Eukaryota; Viridiplantae; Streptophyta; Magnoliopsida; Fabales; Fabaceae.